RNAcentral lists this long non-coding RNA (474 nucleotides) under Homo sapiens (human). RNAcentral's name for it is "HSALNT0391729". The record is from RNAcentral. Lineage: Eukaryota; Metazoa; Chordata; Mammalia; Primates; Hominidae.
GCCUCGCUGACUGGUGUGAGCUGAGGAGCAGGUGAAGCGCAGAAGGCCCUCAGGGGCUGCAUUCUUCCCGGGGCACCUGUGUCUGCCCCACUCUGUGGCUCCCAGGAGCAGCUGGAGUACCCCUCAAUGACAGCAGCAAGCACCUGUCAUCUGCAGGAGGCCUCAGGAGCCAUCUAGUGUCACCUAUAGCUGAAGAAAAUGAGGCACAGAGAGGACACAGCUCUGAGGACGGUGGCACAGAAGGAAAGACCAAGAUGCAGAGAGAUGUCUAAAAGGUGCCAGAAGGUGACUAUCCAGCCCUGGUAUCACUGCCUGGUGAUUUCGUUUCUUUGAUCUUCACGAAUGGCCUCACUGGCUGUGAUUUGGACAGAAAUCAGCUGCCACGUGCAACAUUCUCCCAUGGGAACAUGUGUCCGCAGUACCUAUCUCAGAGCCCAAAUCCUUCCUGCCCCACAGCCUUCUCCUGGAACCUGC